GAUGAACGCUAGCUACAGGCUUAACACAUGCAAGUCGAGGGGCAGCAUGAAUAUUGGCUUGCCAAUAUUUGAUGGCGACCGGCGCACGGGUGAGUAACACGUAUCCAACCUUCCGGUUACUCGGGGAUAGGCUUUCGAAAGAAAGAUUAAUUCCCGAUGUUGCGUAUCUUUCUCCUGAAAGAUACGCCAAAGGAUUCCGGUAACCGAUGGGGAUGCGUUCCAUUAGGCAGUUGGCGGGGUAACGGCCCACCAAACCUUCGAUGGAUAGGGGUUCUGAGAGGAAGGUCCCCCACAUUGGAACUGAGACACGGUCCAAACUCCUACGGGAGGCAGCAGUGAGGAAUAUUGGUCAAUGGACGGAAGUCUGAACCAGCCAAGUAGCGUGAAGGAUGACUGCCCUCUGGGUUGUAAACUUCUUUUAUACGGGAAUAACAUGAGGUACGCGUACCUUAUUGCAUGUACCGUUAUGAAUAGGCAUCGGCUAACUCCGUGCCAGCAGCCGCGGUAAUACGGAGGAUGCGAGCGUUAUCCGGAUUUAUUGGGUUUAAAGGGAGCGUANGUGGGAUAUUAAGUCAGCUGUGAAAGUUUGGGGCUCAACCUUAAAAUUGCAGUUGAUACUGGUUU
Molecule: ribosomal RNA, 624 nt
Filed under: uncultured Bacteroides sp.
Lineage: Bacteria; Pseudomonadati; Bacteroidota; Bacteroidia; Bacteroidales; Bacteroidaceae
Description: bacterial SSU rRNA
Rfam family: Bacterial small subunit ribosomal RNA
Source: RNAcentral